UAGCCCCGUAACCGACGCUUCAUCGAGCGUGAAAUCGAGUAGGGCGGGACACGUGAUAUCCUGUCUGAAUAUGGGGGGACCAUCCUCCAAGGCUAAAUACUCCUGACUGACCGAUAGUGAACCAGUACCGUGAGGGAAAGGCGAAAAGAACCCCUGUGAGGGGAGUGAAAUAGAACCUGAAACCGUGUACGUACAAGCAGUAGGAGCACCUUCGUGGUGUGACUGCGUACCUUUUGUAUAAUGGGUCAGCGACUUAUAUUCAGUGGCAAGGUUAACCGUAUAGGGGAGCCGUAGCGAAAGCGAGUCUUAACUGGGCGCUCAGUCUCUGGAUAUAGACCCGAAACCGGGUGAUCUAGCCAUGGGCAGGUUGAAGGUUGAGUAACAUCAACUGGAGGACCGAACCGACUAAUGUUGAAAAAUUAGCGGAUGACUUGUGGCUAGGGGUGAAAGGCCAAUCAAACUCGGAGAUAGCUGGUUCUCCCCGAAAGCUAUUUAGGUAGCGCCUCGGACGAAUACUACUGGGGGUAGAGCACUGUUAAGGCUAGGGGGUCAUCCCGACUUACCAACCCUUUGCAAACUCCGAAUACCAGUAAGUACUAUCCGGGAG
Molecule: ribosomal RNA, 607 nt
Filed under: Vibrio cholerae
Lineage: Bacteria; Pseudomonadati; Pseudomonadota; Gammaproteobacteria; Vibrionales; Vibrionaceae
Description: partial 23S ribosomal RNA
Rfam family: Bacterial large subunit ribosomal RNA
Source: RNAcentral